Molecule: ribosomal RNA, 253 nt
Filed under: uncultured bacterium
Lineage: Bacteria
Description: partial 16S ribosomal RNA
Rfam family: Bacterial small subunit ribosomal RNA
Source: RNAcentral
UACGAAGGGUGCAAGCGUUGUUCGGAUUUAUUGGGCGUAAAGCGCGCGCAGGCGGAUUGGUAAGUCAGGUGUGAAAUCUCGGGGCUUAACCUCGAAAUUGCGCCUGAAACUGUCGAUCUAGAAUACUGGAGAGGGAAGGGGAAUUUCUCAUGUAGGGGUAAAAUCCGUAGAUAUGAGAAGGAACACCGGAGGCGAAGGCGCCUUCCUGGACAGUGAUUGACGCUGAGGCGCGAAAGCGUGGGGAGCAAACAGG